This 591-nucleotide ribosomal RNA is filed under the name uncultured bacterium. Its description in RNAcentral is "bacterial SSU rRNA". It matches the Rfam family "Bacterial small subunit ribosomal RNA", at positions 335 to 916 of the family's 1533-position model. The record is from RNAcentral.
ACUCCUACGGGAGGCAGCAGUAGGGAAUCUUCCGCAAUGGACGAAAGUCUGACGGAGCAACGCCGCGUGAACGAUGAAGGUCUUCGGAUCGUAAAGUUCUGUUGUUAGGGAAGAACAAGUGCCGUGCGAAUAGAACGGCACCUUGACGGUACCUAACGAGGAAGCCCCGGCUAACUACGUGCCAGCAGCCGCGGUAAUACGUAGGGGGCAAGCGUUGUCCGGAAUUAUUGGGCGUAAAGCGCGCGCAGGCGGUUCCUUAAGUCUGAUGUGAAAGCCCACGGCUCAACCGUGGAGGGUCAUUGGAAACUGGGGAACUUGAGGACAGAAGAGGAGAGUGGAAUUCCACGUGUAGCGGUGAAAUGCGUAGAUAUGUGGAGGAACACCAGUGGCGAAGGCGACUCUCUGGUCUGUUUCUGACGCUGAGGUGCGAAAGCGUGGGUAGCAAACAGGAUUAGAUACCCUGGUAGUCCACGCCGUAAACGAUGAGUGCUAGGUGUUAGGGGGCUUCCACCCCUUAGUGCUGAAGUUAACGCAUUAAGCACUCCGCCUGGGGAGUACGGCCGCAAGGCUGAAACUCAAAGGAAUUGACGG